Molecule: ribosomal RNA, 468 nt
Filed under: uncultured bacterium
Lineage: Bacteria
Description: partial 16S ribosomal RNA
Rfam family: Bacterial small subunit ribosomal RNA
Source: RNAcentral
GACGAACGCUGGCGGCGUGCUUAACACAUGCAAGUCGAACGGAAAGGCCCUGCUUUUGUGGGGUGCUCGAGGGGCGAACGGGUGAGUAACACGUGAGUAAGCUGCCCUUGACUGUGGGAUAAAUUGAGGAAACUGGGGCUAAUACCGGAGAGGAGCGCCUGAUGCAGGGGGGGGGUUGGAAAGUUUCGGCGGUUGGGGAUGGACUCGCGGCUUAUCAGCUUGUUGGGGGGGUAGCGGCUUACCAAGGCUUUGGCGGGUCGCCGGCCUGAGAGGGUGGCCGGCCACCUUGGGCCUGCGGUACGGCCCAGACUCCUACUGUAGGCAGCAGUGGGGAAUCUUGCACAAUGGGCGCGCGCCUGAUGCAGCAACGCCGCGGGCGUGAUGACGGCCUUCGGGUUGUAAACCGCUUUCGCCUGUGACGAGGCGUUAGUGACGGUAACGGGUAAAGAAGCACCGGCUAACUACGUG